AGAAAAUAUAGAAGAAGAAAAAAAUCACAUGAAACUACAUCACACAGAGAUGUUUAUUGAGAAUAUCAGUUUCUGCACGUGGGCAGUAGAUAUUGAAGGUUAUAUGGUUUACAGAAAACAUCUUUAAAAGAUAGACACUCAAGGACCAAGGAAAUAAAACACCAGAAGCCCAGAGCACAGAGUAUUUUCCUUCACCAAUUCGUAGCAUCGUGAUACUUCUCUAAUUCCAUCAAGUAUGAAGGAAUGACCACUUUGGCAGAUGGCCACAGAGGAUGUCAACAGUUUUUUG
Long non-coding RNA from Eptesicus fuscus (big brown bat), 289 nucleotides. RefSeq lists it as uncharacterized. NCBI's taxonomy places the organism in Eukaryota, Metazoa, Chordata, Mammalia, Chiroptera, Vespertilionidae. The record is from RefSeq and is a predicted model, not a curated record. The transcript has 3 exons.